Molecule: ribosomal RNA, 296 nt
Filed under: uncultured bacterium
Lineage: Bacteria
Description: partial 16S ribosomal RNA
Rfam family: Bacterial small subunit ribosomal RNA
Source: RNAcentral
UGGGGAAUAUUGGACAAUGGGGGCAACCCUGAUCCAGCAAUGCCGCGUGUGUGAAGAAGGUCUUCGGAUUGUAAAGCACUUUCGGCGGGGACGAUGAUGACGGUACCCGCAGAAGAAGCCCCGGCUAACUUCGUGCCAGCAGCCGCGGUAAUACGAAGGGGGCUAGCGUUGCUCGGAAUGACUGGGCGUAAAGGGCGUGUAGGCGGUUUGUACAGUCAGAUGUGAAAUCCCCGGGCUUAACCUGGGAGCUGCAUUUGAGACGUGCAGACUAGAGUGUGAGAGAGGGUUUGUGGAAU